UCCUUUUCCAGCUCCAUGAUGAUCCUGCAGGUUUCAGGGCAUCCCUGGACAGUGGAUCUGACAGCACUACUGAUGGUGCUGCUCAUAUCUGUGGUCCAGGGCUGGGCCACUCCAGAGAAUUCCGUGUACCAGGAACGGCAGGAAUGCUACGCGUUCAAUGGGACUCAGCGCUUUGUGGACGGGCUCAUCUAUAACCGGGAGGAAUACGUGCAUUUUGACAGCGCAGUGGGGGAGUUCCUAGCAGUGAUGGAGCUGGGGCGGCCCACGGGCGAGUACUUGAACAGCUAGAAGGACUUUAUGGAACGGAAGCGAGCCGAGGUGGACAAGAUGUGCAGACACAAGUACGAGCUGAUGGAGCCACUCAUCCGGCAGCGCCCAGUCCACCCGAGGCUGAACGUCUCCCCCUCCAAGAAGGGGCCCUUACAGCACCACAACCUGCUCGUCUGUCACAUGACAGAUUUCCACCCAGGCAGCAUUCAAGUCCGAUGGUUCCUGAAUGGACAGGAGGAAACAACUGGGGUCGUGUCCACCAACCUCAUCCAUAAUGGAAACUGGACCUUCCAGAUCCUGGUGUUGCUGGAAAUGACCCCCCAGCAGGGAGACGUCUACACCUGCCAAGUGGAGCACCCCAGCCUGGACAGUCCUGUCACUGUGGAGUGGAAGACACAGUCUGAUUCUACCCAGAGCAAGACGCUGACAGGAGCCGCGGGCUUCGUGCUGGGGCUCAUCAUCUGUGGAGUGGGCAUCUUCAUGCACAGAAGGAGCAAGAAAGUUCAACAAGGAUCUGCAUAAACAGGCAAUACUCCUGCUUUGUUUUCCUUAUUGGGGGAGUUACAGGAGGACAUAAGUCCUUUCUGUGCAUUGUGACACUGAGGCUCCUCUAGGAAAAGAGUCUGAGGCCUGAACCCCUGUUUCAACCUCAGCCCUGGGAUGAGUGGGGAAAGAGCAUUGCAUGGCUCCAUUGCUAAAGGAAGCUCAGAUCAACUCUAUUCUUUGUCAGCGUGAGAUUCAGCCUCUCACCAUUAUUUUUGUCUCCUGGGACUUAAAGGAAGGGGGCCAGCAACCUGGGAUAACUUUGUUUUUUACCCCCACUGGGUUC
Molecule: non-coding RNA, 1099 nt
Organism: Chlorocebus sabaeus (green monkey)
Lineage: Eukaryota; Metazoa; Chordata; Mammalia; Primates; Cercopithecidae
Source: RefSeq, a predicted model, not a curated record